This 483-nucleotide ribosomal RNA is filed under the name Triticum aestivum (bread wheat). RNAcentral's name for it is "partial small subunit ribosomal RNA". The record is from RNAcentral. Lineage: Eukaryota; Viridiplantae; Streptophyta; Magnoliopsida; Poales; Poaceae.
AUGGUCGAGCAUGGGAAAUUCCCUUCGGUCAUGGAGACGAGCUACGAGGUGACACAUCAUAUGGGCCUCCUACAACAAGACGACAAUAAGACGGUCGAGCAAGGGCUAUCCCCUUCGACCAUGGCGAUGAGCAUGAACCUCUUCAAGAACAUGAAGACAACGCUGCAACGGGACUCAAACUCCGAGUCAAGCUAUGAGACCACACAUGAGACCCUCUCUUUGGUCUCGGAGGAGCAUGAUGAUUUGCCACAUCCUAUGGCAUUCAUCUUUAGAGGCGUUAUGGAUGAGGAGGUUGAGCAUGGGACUAUCCCUUCAACCAAAGCGGCUAUUGGAGUUGAGCAUGGAGACAUUUGCACCUACACCUCUCCGACACCCACAUAUGAUGAGAUGCCCCAAUUCCCAUGUGAGGAGAGCCACCCCACCAUGAGUGAUAUGAGUGACUCCACUAUAUGUGACAUUGAUGCAUUUCCUAUGAGAGGUUGA